Molecule: ribosomal RNA, 253 nt
Filed under: uncultured bacterium
Lineage: Bacteria
Description: partial 16S ribosomal RNA
Rfam family: Bacterial small subunit ribosomal RNA
Source: RNAcentral
UACGUAGGUGGCAAGCGUUGUUCGGAAUUAUUGGGCGUAAAGGGCGCGUAGGCGGCUUGUUAAGUCGGCUGUGAAAGCCCGGGGCUCAACCCCGGAGGGUCAGCCGAUACUGGCAGGCUAGAGUACGGAAGAGGUAGCUGGAAUCCCCGGUGUAGCGGUGAAAUGCGUAGAUAUCGGGAGGAACACCUGAGGCGAAGGCGGGCUACUGGGCCGAUACUGACGCUGAUGCGCGAAAGCCAGGGGAGCGAACGGG